AGGGUUGUAGCUCAGCGGUAGAGCACUCACCUAGCAUGUGUGAGGUCCUGGGUUCAAUCCUCAGCACCACAU
Molecule: transfer RNA, 72 nt
Filed under: Ictidomys tridecemlineatus (thirteen-lined ground squirrel)
Lineage: Eukaryota; Metazoa; Chordata; Mammalia; Rodentia; Sciuridae
Description: Spermophilus tridecemlineatus (thirteen-lined ground squirrel) tRNA
Rfam family: tRNA
About the family: Transfer RNA (tRNA) molecules are approximately 80 nucleotides in length. Their secondary structure includes four short double-helical elements and three loops (D, anti-codon, and T loops).
Source: Rfam by way of RNAcentral